Bacillus sp. LL01 is the source of this 129-nucleotide non-coding RNA. The record is from Rfam. NCBI's taxonomy places the organism in Bacteria, Bacillati, Bacillota, Bacilli, Caryophanales, Bacillaceae.
AUAAAAAAAACCCUGCUCGGAUGUCCGGGCAGGGUCCUUCCAUCCCUUGAUAUAAUCAAGGUUAAGAAGGCAAAGGGAGAGGAGAAACCGGAGGAAGAACUUAUGGGGAAACGUAAGUCUUCUCCGCGG